This is a long non-coding RNA of Falco peregrinus (peregrine falcon), 643 nucleotides long. RefSeq lists it as uncharacterized. The record is from RefSeq and is a predicted model, not a curated record. The transcript has 4 exons. NCBI's taxonomy places the organism in Eukaryota, Metazoa, Chordata, Aves, Falconiformes, Falconidae.
CCUUGCUUGGCUUCUGUUGCAGCGGUUUCGGUGAAGGCUUCGGGAAGUGAACCUGUUAAUGGAGAGACAGUAAGCUGGGAUGCUGCAGAGAAACCAGUAACGUUCAAGAUAAUCACAGUAGAGCCGAGUGCAUUUUGUAUCACUGGACCGAGUCAAAUGCCAAACUCUCAAGGAAGAUAAUCACCGAGUCUUGUGACUCUGGUAGUCUAAUGAAAGCAGCAGAAAAAGAGUUCCUGCAAUAAAAGCAUGAAGUAUCCCGAGUAUCCUGUAUCGGUGAGCAUCAAGAAUCAUUUAUUACAGAGUGACCAGCAUCCGACAGCAUCCAGAAGUUUACUUUCUGCCCUUGCAGCAAACAAGCCUUUGAGCUAAAAGUGAUGAAAAUAUAAUAAACUUGUACAUGAAGGGCCUGAUCCAGUUCCACUGAAGUCAGAAACAUUAGUUCAAUUAAAUCGCACCCUGAAUUAACGAGCGUGACGUAUCACCUAAUGGCUGAACAGCUAUGCGUUACAUAGUGCAAGUACACUUACUACAGCUGCUUCCAGAAGAAUCCCAUUCCAUCACUGAAUCUGGGAGCUCAUCCAUAAGUCUGAAAAAACAUGAGAGUGCAACAAUUUAAUGUGGUUUUGGAGCAGGUGAUUCUUCA